AAGUCGUAACAAGGUCUCCGUAGGUGAACCUGCGGAGGGAUCAUUAUAUGACGCCCAGGCUUGUAUAGCUGGGGACUGCUUAACCCUUUGUUUUCCGACUCUGUUGCCUCCGGGGCGACCCUGCCUUCGGGCGGGGGCUCCGGGUGGACACUUCAAACUCUUGCGUAACUUUGCAGUCUGAGUAAACUUAAUUAAUAAAUUAAAACUUUUAACAACGGAUCUCUUGGUUCUG
This 232-nucleotide unclassified non-coding RNA is filed under the name Cladosporium herbarum. RNAcentral's name for it is "partial internal transcribed spacer region". The stretch from base 1 to 46 matches the Rfam family "Eukaryotic small subunit ribosomal RNA", at positions 1786 to 1831 of the family's 1831-position model. The record is from RNAcentral. Lineage: Eukaryota; Fungi; Ascomycota; Dothideomycetes; Cladosporiales; Cladosporiaceae.